UACGUAGGGUGCAAGCGUUGUCCGGAAUACUGGGCGUAAAGCGUGCGCAGGCGGUUGUGCAAGACCGAUGUGAAAUCCCCCGGGCUUAACCUGGGAAUGGCAUUGGUGACUGCACGGCUAGAGUGUGUCAGAGGGGGGUAGAAUUCCACGUGUAGCAGUGAAAUGCGUAGAGAUGUGGAGGAAUACCGAUGGCGAAGGCAGCCCCCUGGGAUAACGACUGACGCUCAUGCACGAAAGCGUGGGGAGCAAACAGG
This 254-nucleotide ribosomal RNA is filed under the name uncultured bacterium. RNAcentral describes it as "partial 16S ribosomal RNA". It matches the Rfam family "Bacterial small subunit ribosomal RNA", at positions 524 to 776 of the family's 1533-position model. The record is from RNAcentral.